UACGAAGGGUGCAAGCGUUACUCGGAAUUACUGGGCGUAAAGCGUGCGUAGGUGGUUUGUUAAGUCUGAUGUGAAAGCCCUGGGCUCAACCUGGGAAUUGCAUUGGAUACUGGCAGGCUAGAGUGCGGUAGAGGAUGGCGGAAUUCCCGGUGUAGCGGUGAAAUGCGUAGAGAUCAGAAAGAACAUCGGUGGCGAAAGCGCUCUACUGGACGACAACUGACACUCAGGGACGAAAGCUAGGGGAGCGAAUGGG
This 253-nucleotide ribosomal RNA is filed under the name uncultured bacterium. Its description in RNAcentral is "partial 16S ribosomal RNA". It matches the Rfam family "Bacterial small subunit ribosomal RNA", at positions 524 to 776 of the family's 1533-position model. The record is from RNAcentral.